UUUAAACGUAGCCAUGAAUUUCUAUGUCAAACUUUAAUCGUUCGUUUUAUUUUUUUUAAAAAAAUAAAGAAACAUAAGCCACGCAUAAAGUACUAUUCAUGUUUUAUCAUCUAAUAACAAUAAAAAUAUUAAUCAUAAAAAAUUUCAAAUAACACGGAUGAUCAAAGUUGGACAUGAAAACUCAUGACUGCGCUUAAA
Molecule: microRNA precursor, 198 nt
Filed under: Oryza meridionalis
Lineage: Eukaryota; Viridiplantae; Streptophyta; Magnoliopsida; Poales; Poaceae
Description: MIR812 microRNA precursor family
Rfam family: MIR812 microRNA precursor family
Source: Rfam by way of RNAcentral